UUAAGUUAUUAAGGGCGCACGGUGGAUGCCUUGGCACUAGAAGCCGAUGAAGGACGUUACUAACGACGAUAUGCUUUGGGGAGCUGUAAGUAAGCUUUGAUCCAGAGAUUUCCGAAUGGGGAAACCCAGCAUGAGUUAUGUCAUGUUAUCGAUAUGUGAAUACAUAGCAUAUCAGAAGGCACACCCGGAGAACUGAAACAUCUUAGUACCCGGAGGAAGAGAAAGAAAAUUCGAUUCCCUUAGUAGCGGCGAGCGAAACGGGAAGAGCCCAAACCAACAAGCUUGCUUGUUGGGGUUGUAGGACACUCUAUACGGAGUUACAAAGGACGACAUUAGACGAAUCAUCUGGAAAGAUGAAUCAAAGAAGGUAAUAAUCCUGUAGUCGAAAAUGUUGUCUCUCUUGAGUGGAUCCUGAGUACGACGGAGCACGUGAAAUUCCGUCGGAAUCUGGGAGGACCAUCUCCUAAGGCUAAAUACUCUCUAGUGACCGAUAGUGAACCAGUACCGUGAGGGAAAGGUGAAAAGCACCCCGGAAGGGGAGUGAAAUAGAACCUGAAACCGUGUGCUUACAAGUAGUCAGAGCCCGUUAAUGGGUGAUGGCGUGCCUUUUGUAGAAUGAACCGGCGAGUUACGAUUUGAUGCAAGGUUAAGCAGUAAAUGUGGAGCCGUAGCGAAAGCGAGUCUGAAUAGGGCGUUUAGUAUUUGGUCGUAGACCCGAAACCAGGUGAUCUACCCUUGGUCAGGUUGAAGUUCAGGUAACACUGAAUGGAGGACCGAACCGACUUACGUUGAAAAGUGAGCGGAUGAACUGAGGGUAGCGGAGAAAUUCCAAUCGAACCUGGAGAUAGCUGGUUCUCUCCGAAAUAGCUUUAGGGCUAGCCUCAAGUGAUGAUUAUUGGAGGUAGAGCACUGUUUGGACGAGGGGCCCCUCUCGGGUUACCGAAUUCAGACAAACUCCGAAUGCCAAUUAAUUUAACUUGGGAGUCAGAACAUGGGUGAUAAGGUCCGUGUUCGAAAGGGAAACAGCCCAGACCACCAGCUAAGGUCCCAAAAUAUAUGUUAAGUGGAAAAGGAUGUGGCGUUGCCCAGACAACUAGGAUGUUGGCUUAGAAGCAGCCAUCAUUUAAAGAGUGCGUAAUAGCUCACUAGUCGAGUGACACUGCGCCGAAAAUGUACCGGGGCUAAACAUAUUACCGAAGCUGUGGAUUGUCCUUUGGACAAUGGUAGGAGAGCGUUCUAAGGGCGUUGAAGCAUGAUCGUAAGGACAUGUGGAGCGCUUAGAAGUGAGAAUGCCGGUGUGAGUAGCGAAAGACGGGUGAGAAUCCCGUCCACCGAUUGACUAAGGUUUCCAGAGGAAGGCUCGUCCGCUCUGGGUUAGUCGGGUCCUAAGCUGAGGCCGACAGGCGUAGGCGAUGGAUAACAGGUUGAUAUUCCUGUACCACCUAUAAUCGUUUUAAUCGAUGGGGGGACGCAGUAGGAUAGGCGAAGCGUGCGAUUGGAUUGCACGUCUAAGCAGUAAGGCUGAGUAUUAGGCAAAUCCGGUACUCGUUAAGGCUGAGCUGUGAUGGGGAGAAGACAUUGUGUCUUCGAGUCGUUGAUUUCACACUGCCGAGAAAAGCCUCUAGAUAGAAAAUAGGUGCCCGUACCGCAAACCGACACAGGUAGUCAAGAUGAGAAUUCUAAGGUGAGCGAGCGAACUCUCGUUAAGGAACUCGGCAAAAUGACCCCGUAACUUCGGGAGAAGGGGUGCUCUUUAGGGUUAACGCCCAGAAGAGCCGCAGUGAAUAGGCCCAAGCGACUGUUUAUCAAAAACACAGGUCUCUGCUAAACCGUAAGGUGAUGUAUAGGGGCUGACGCCUGCCCGGUGCUGGAAGGUUAAGAGGAGUGGUUAGCUUCUGCGAAGCUACGAAUCGAAGCCCCAGUAAACGGCGGCCGUAACUAUAACGGUCCUAAGGUAGCGAAAUUCCUUGUCGGGUAAGUUCCGACCCGCACGAAAGGCGUAACGAUUUGGGCACUGUCUCAACGAGAGACUCGGUGAAAUCAUAGUACCUGUGAAGAUGCAGGUUACCCGCGACAGGACGGAAAGACCCCGUGGAGCUUUACUGUAGCCUGAUAUUGAAAUUCGGCACAGCUUGUACAGGAUAGGUAGGAGCCUUUGAAACGUGAGCGCUAGC
Molecule: ribosomal RNA, 2174 nt
Filed under: Staphylococcus aureus M0810
Lineage: Bacteria; Bacillati; Bacillota; Bacilli; Caryophanales; Staphylococcaceae
Also listed under: 1 other name
Description: bacterial LSU rRNA
Rfam family: Bacterial large subunit ribosomal RNA
Source: RNAcentral